This 90-nucleotide non-coding RNA is filed under the name uncultured Agathobaculum sp. Its description in RNAcentral is "yjdF RNA". It matches the Rfam family "azaaromatic riboswitch aptamer (yjdF RNA)", at positions 5 to 92 of the family's 101-position model. Lineage: Bacteria; Bacillati; Bacillota; Clostridia; Eubacteriales; Butyricicoccaceae. The record is from RNAcentral.
GCAGAGAUAAAAACACGGUCCGGUUGGUAGUCCGGACGCGGCGGAGAAAGCGCCGUCAGUAACCUGCCUCCUUGGUUGUCCGUUCUCUGU